This 427-nucleotide ribosomal RNA is filed under the name uncultured Glomus. RNAcentral's name for it is "bacterial SSU rRNA". It matches the Rfam family "Eukaryotic small subunit ribosomal RNA", at positions 569 to 1011 of the family's 1831-position model. The record is from RNAcentral. Lineage: Eukaryota; Fungi; Glomeromycota; Glomeromycetes; Glomerales; Glomeraceae.
AGCAGCCGCGGUAAUUCCAGCCCCAAUAGCGUAUAUUAAAGUUGUUGCAGUUAAAAGCUCGUAGUUGAAUUUCGGGAUUAAUAUGUUGGUCGUGCCUUGGUACGUACUGGCAUUAUUGAUUCCUACCUUCUGAAGAACCUCGAUGUCAUUAAUUUGGUGUCUUGGGGAAUCAGGACCGUUACUUUGAAAAAAUUGAGUGUUUAAAGCUAAGCUAACGCUUGAAUACAUUAGCAUGGAAUAAUGAAAUAGGACGUUCGAUCCUAUUUUGUGGUUUCUAGGAUUGACGUAAUGAUUAAUAGGGAUAGUUGGGGGCAUUAGUAUUCAAUUGUCAGAGUGAAAUUCUUGGAUUUAUGAAGACUAACUACUGCGAAAGCAUUUGCCAAGGAUGUUCUAUAUACAGAGAACGUAGGAGUACGAGAACGAGUAC